GAUGAACGCUGGCGGCGUGCCUAAUACAUGCAAGUCGAGCGAACAGACGAGGAGCUUGCUCCUCUGACGUUAGCGGCGGACGGGUGAGUAACACGUGGAUAACCUACCUAUAAGACUGGGAUAACUUCGGGGAACCGGAGCUAAUACCGGAUAAUAUAUUGAACCGCAUGGUUCAAUAGUGAAAGACGGUUUUGCUGUCACUUAUAGAUGGAUCCGCGCCGCAUUAGCUAGUUGGUAAGGUAACGGCUUACCAAGGCAACGAUGCGUAGCCGACCUGAGAGGGUGAUCGGCCACACUGGAACUGAGACACGGUCCAGACUCCUACGGGAGGCAGCAGUAGGGAAUCUUCCGCAAUGGGCGAAAGCCUGAUGGAGCAACGCCGCGUGAGUGAUGAAGGUCUUCGGAUCGUAAAACUCUGUUAUUAGGGAAGAACAAAUGUGUAAGUAACUAUGCACGUCUUGACGGUACCUAAUCAGAAAGCCACGGCUAACUACGUG
RNAcentral lists this ribosomal RNA (497 nucleotides) under uncultured bacterium. RNAcentral describes it as "partial 16S ribosomal RNA". It matches the Rfam family "Bacterial small subunit ribosomal RNA", at positions 28 to 507 of the family's 1533-position model. The record is from RNAcentral.